This 253-nucleotide ribosomal RNA is filed under the name uncultured bacterium. RNAcentral describes it as "partial 16S ribosomal RNA". It matches the Rfam family "Bacterial small subunit ribosomal RNA", at positions 524 to 776 of the family's 1533-position model. The record is from RNAcentral.
UACGGGGGGGGCAAGCGUUGUUCGGAAUUACUGGGCGUAAAGGGCGCGUAGGCGGUUCGCUAAGUCGGAUGUGAAAACUCUGGGCUCAACUCAGAGCCUGCAUCCGAAACUGGCGGGCUAGAGUUCUGGAGGGGGUAGCGGAAUUCCUGGUGUAGCGGUGAAAUGCGUAGAUAUCAGGAGGAACACCGGUGGCGAAGGCGGGUCUCUGGGCCGAUACUGACGCUGAGGAGCGAAAGCGUGGGGAGCGAACAGG